CCUACGAGUGGCAGCAGUGGGGAAUAUUGCACAAUGGGGAAACCCUGAUGCAGCGACGCCGCGUGAAGGAUGAAGUAUUUCGGUAUGUAAACUUCUAUCAGCAGGGAAGAAAAUUACGGUUCCUUACUUAGAAGCCCCCGCUAACUACGUGCCAGCAGCCGCGGUUAUACGUAGGGGGCAAGCGUUAUCCGGAUUUACUGGGUGUAAAGGGGGCGUAGACGGGAGGGCAAGGCUGAGUGGAAAACCCGGGGCUCAACCCCGGGACUGUAUUGGGAACUGUCAGGCUAGAGUGUCGGAGAGGCAAGUGGAAUUCCUAGUGUAGCGGUGAAAUGCGUAGAUAUUAGGAGGGACACCAGUGGCGAAGGCGGCUUGAUGGAAGAGGACUGACGUUGAGGCUCGAAAGCGUGGGGAGCAAACAGGAUUAGAUACCCCGGGUAGUC
Molecule: ribosomal RNA, 440 nt
Filed under: uncultured bacterium
Lineage: Bacteria
Description: partial 16S ribosomal RNA
Rfam family: Bacterial small subunit ribosomal RNA
Source: RNAcentral